RNAcentral lists this long non-coding RNA (666 nucleotides) under Brassica napus (rape). RNAcentral describes it as "long non-coding RNA (BNAP_LNC005122)". The record is from RNAcentral. Lineage: Eukaryota; Viridiplantae; Streptophyta; Magnoliopsida; Brassicales; Brassicaceae.
UACAGUAUUUUUGUACAUUUUUGUUAGGUUGAGUCAGAGAAUUAUUUUUACUGGAGGUGCUCUUUAGCAAUUGUAAAUAUACUUUAAAGAAUAUGAUCAUAUAUUUCUCCUUCUAUUGUGGAUCGCAAUCAACUUCCCAAACAAUCGAAGCUAUAAUCACAGUGAAUACACAAAGUCAACCAAGUUGCUUUGGUCUAGUGGUAUAGGAGCUCCAGCUGGAGUGCCCGCCCCUGGGUUCGAGCCUUGGCCACUGCGGAAAUUUACAUAUGGGCUGCAGCAUCCGAAACCGAAGACCGUUACACGGUGAGCCACAUGGUGACGCCCUGGCAGCGUCCUUGCUCACUUCGGUCUCUAGUCUGGACCACCUCGGUGGAUACUCGGUUAGAAAAAAAAAAAAAAAAAGAAUACACAAAGUCAUGAUAAACGAGUCAAAUAGCGACGUUAAUGGCUAAAGAAAUGAUUAUACUUAUGAUAACGAAAGAAGAGGAGGAACAGCUUUCUGCACUCUCGAGGGAUGCAUUUCACAUUCUUUCAUGUUACAAAUAAUUCCUAUUUCUGACACAAACCUAUCUAAUUUGCAAACACAAAGCAUGCCUACCUACCUAUUCCACUCUUCUUUUGUUUCCUUUACCUUUUACUUUAUUUUCCGCUUCGUUAUUCUUCUUU